Molecule: ribosomal RNA, 467 nt
Filed under: uncultured bacterium
Lineage: Bacteria
Description: partial 16S ribosomal RNA
Rfam family: Bacterial small subunit ribosomal RNA
Source: RNAcentral
GGCGAACGCUGGCGGCGUGCUUAACACAUGCAAGUCGAACGGAAAGGCCUAGCUUGCUGGGUACUCGAGUGGCGAACGGGUGAGUAACACGUGGGUGAUCUGCCCCUGACUUUGGGAUAAGCCUGGGAAACUGGGUCUAAUACCGGAUAUUCAUUUUUCCUCGCAUGGGGAUUUGUGGAAAGCUUUUGCGGUUGGGGAUGGGCCCGCGGCCUAUCAGCUUGUUGGUGGGGUAAUGGCCUACCAAGGCGACGACGGGUAGCCGACCUGAGAGGGUGAUCGGCCACACUGGGACUGAGACACGGCCCAGACUCCUACGGGAGGCAGCAGUGGGGAAUAUUGCACAAUGGGCGCAAGCCUGAUGCAGCGACGCCGCGUGAGGGAUGACGGCCUUCGGGUUGUAAACCUCUUUCAGCUCCGACGAAGCGCAAGUGACGGUAGGAGCAGAAGAAGCACCGGCCAACUACGUG